Long non-coding RNA from Gavialis gangeticus (Gharial), 1076 nucleotides. RefSeq lists it as uncharacterized. The record is from RefSeq and is a predicted model, not a curated record. Lineage: Eukaryota; Metazoa; Chordata; Crocodylia; Gavialidae. The transcript has 2 exons.
CUGUUUCCCCCCUGGGGGCCUCUGCAGCGGAGUGGGGUGGGGAGGUUUUGUGCCACUGCUACCUUGCCAGCUGUGUCUCCCUGCCAGGGUGCCCCCAGCCUGCAUAUCAGCAGAGGGGGAUGCAACUCCAUGCCACUGCUGCCAGGUGGGCAAGGGUGCCCACUGGUCUGCAGAAGCUCUCAGGGUGAGGACAGCAGGACAGGGAGCCCUGAGCCCACAGCAAGCAGCCUGCAUCCACUCUGGCUGUGCUGCCUUCAGGGAUUGGGGGCUGGGGUGUAGAGCUGGACUCUGCACUGUACUUGCAUUGCAGCAGUUGCUGCCUCCCGUGGGUGGCAGCUGGGGCUCAAGCACUGUGGAAGGGCUGGAGGGACUGGGUUGGGAGCAAGGGGUCCAUGCUGAGGAAAACAUUGGGAAGUAUUGACCUAAGAUAUAAAGUAAAGCAGUAAAAGCAUCCAAAGCUUGACAGCGUGCGGAGGAUGAGGUUACUAGGAGUGUUUCAGUUGCUGGUUUAAAAUAGCACCCCCAGCUUGCUAGUGACUUUUGUCCCUGAUAAUUGAUUUCGCUGCCUGUGUGGUAAGUUUGUUGCUACAACCUGCUUCUAAGUGGGUAAGUGUCUGAAAACAACCAAUUACCCCCAGAAAUGAUGUUUAUUGACCCUUAAUUGUAGCAUCUGCAUGGUAGCUUAUUUGUUUUAAAUGUAUUUUGAAUUGCUCAGAAUAUGUAAGAUAUAAAAUUUAUAUUUCUCAUCACUUUUUCUGGUGUGGUUACUGGCUUCUUAAGCAUCUGAUCAAAUGAUCUGUGUUUCAUAGAUAUGCUUUGACACAUUUUUAUAUAUAAAAGUAUCCAGAAGCAUCUUCUUGAUGAAAAGACUCUCAUAAUCUCUGUCCAUUGGCUGUGAAAGUACCAGACAGAAAAAUAGAUGAAGGGAUCAGCGUAUUAGAAACUGUCUAACUACAGAAUCUCUAAAACACUUACCAUUUUCCCGUUCUUACAUUACUGUAAGACUCACUUCACACCCUAUUGCUAUCCCCUCUUAAAGAUUGCAGUCUUUCAAUGUUAAAAGAUUAGAAACAUUG